Molecule: long non-coding RNA, 712 nt
Filed under: Malus domestica (apple)
Lineage: Eukaryota; Viridiplantae; Streptophyta; Magnoliopsida; Rosales; Rosaceae
Description: long non-coding RNA (MDOM_LNC000781)
Source: RNAcentral
UCACAUCAUCAAUUGUUGAUUCUUUAUGGUUCAAGUCUGAUCUGACCUCAUUAUCUUGACAACAGGGAAAAACAAUUCGAAUUAUUAAAAAUCUAAAAUCUGAUUUGAGUAAGAGCUCACUACUGGUUUAAUUGACUAUUCUCAUCAUUCAUUAAUUCUCAUUGCCACCUUCAGCCAGCCAACGUAAAACAUGAGGUUAUCGAGUGCACCAAUUGGGCAAUUUAGCAUGACAGACGAUGCAUGCAUCAGUUUAGCUGCGCAAUGUUAGAAAAACAAAUUAAGGACCAUAUUCUGUAAAGAUUCAACACACUUUAGCAAAUUGAUUAGUAGCAUGCCGUAAUAACGUAGAGCAUCAAACUUCUAUUAAUACAUCAGGAAUCUAAGAGCGUGUUUACGAAUGGGAAAUGGGACGUGGGGAAUGGGAAUUGCACACAAUUCGAUGAAUUCAAGUGUUUACUACCAUAAGAGGAAUGAAAAUCAGUGGAAAAAUGGGGUGGGACCCAGCUCAUUUCUGGAAUCAGACUUCGGGUAACACCGGAGUCGGAUUCUCUAAUAGUACUUGGUAUUUGGAUUCCUUGAAGGGGAGUCCUCCAAGAAUCAAAGUUUUGCUCCAAAAUUACCCUAAUUUAUUUUCUUAAUUUCAAAACAGCCUUACAAACUUCAUCGCCAAAUCCAACAUAGAUACCCAUAUCACUCUCUUCUCCAGUCUCAC